This 440-nucleotide ribosomal RNA is filed under the name uncultured bacterium. RNAcentral's name for it is "partial 16S ribosomal RNA". It matches the Rfam family "Bacterial small subunit ribosomal RNA", at positions 338 to 795 of the family's 1533-position model. The record is from RNAcentral.
CCUACGGGAGGCUGCAGUGGGGAAUAUUGGACAAUGGGGGAAACCCUGAUCCAGCGACGCCGCGUGAGUGAAGAAGUAUUUCUGUACGUAAAGCUCUAUCAGCAGGAGAGAAAAUGACGGUACCUGACUAAGACUCCCCGGCUAACUCGGUGCCAGCAGCCGCGGUAAUACGUAGGGGGCAAGCGUUAUCCGGAUUUACUGGGUGUAAUGGGAGCGUAGACGGCAGCGUAAGUCUGGAGUGAAAUGCCGGGGCCCAACCCUGGAACUGCUGUGGAAACUGGGAAGCUGGAGUGCAGGAGAGGUAAGCGGAAUUCCUGGUGUAGCGGUGAAAUGCGUAGAUAUCAGGAGGAACACCGGCGGCGAAGGCGGCUUACUGGACUGCAACUGACGUUGAGGCUCGAAGGCGUGGGGAGCAAACAGGAUUAGAUACCCUAGUAGUC